Long non-coding RNA from Papaver somniferum (opium poppy), 334 nucleotides. RefSeq lists it as uncharacterized. The record is from RefSeq and is a predicted model, not a curated record. NCBI's taxonomy places the organism in Eukaryota, Viridiplantae, Streptophyta, Magnoliopsida, Ranunculales, Papaveraceae. The transcript has 3 exons.
CAUGAGUUUUUAGGGAAGGACAACUCAACCACUCUCUCGGCUAGUGUGAACUUUGUUGAUCUGGCGGGAAGCGAACGUGCAUCUCAAGCAUUAUCAGCUGGUACGAGACUGAAAGAAGGUUGCCACAUAAAUCGCAGUUUGCUUACUCUAGGAACGGUUAUUCGCAAGCUAAGCAAUGGAAGAAAUGGACAUGUUCCUUACAGAGAUUCUAAGCUUACACGUAUACUUCAACCUUCUUUAGGAGGCAAUGAAAGAACAGCAAUUAUAUGUACAAUUAGUCCUGCGAGAAACCAUCUUGAACAGUCAAAAAACACCCUCUUAUUUGCAAGUUGUG